Cavia porcellus (domestic guinea pig) is the source of this 79-nucleotide small nuclear RNA. It matches the Rfam family "U4 spliceosomal RNA". From Rfam's summary of the family: U4 small nuclear RNA (U4 snRNA) is a component of the major U2-dependent spliceosome. The structure of U4 snRNA from yeast and human has been reported. U4 snRNA presents a k-turn RNA motif in the 5p-SL related to recognition of Snu13 protein. Lineage: Eukaryota; Metazoa; Chordata; Mammalia; Rodentia; Caviidae. The record is from Rfam.
AGCUUUAUGCAGUGGCAGUAUCAUAGCCAAUGAGGUUUAUCUGAGGCGCAAUUAUUACUAAUUGAAAGCUUUUAUAGUU